RNAcentral lists this transfer RNA (75 nucleotides) under Verrucomicrobiota bacterium. Its description in RNAcentral is "Verrucomicrobia bacterium tRNA-Thr". It matches the Rfam family "tRNA". From Rfam's summary of the family: Transfer RNA (tRNA) molecules are approximately 80 nucleotides in length. Their secondary structure includes four short double-helical elements and three loops (D, anti-codon, and T loops). Lineage: Bacteria; Pseudomonadati; Verrucomicrobiota. The record is from RNAcentral. RNAcentral also lists the same sequence under 2 other names.
GCCGCGAUAGCUCAGCGGUAGAGCAUCCGAUUUGUAAUCGGACGGUCGUCAGUUCAAUCCUGACUCGCGGCUCCA